CUACGGGUGGCUGCAGUGAGGAAUAUUGCACAAUGGGGGGAACCCUGAUGCAGCAACGCCGCGUGGAGGAUGACGCAUUUCGGUGUGUAAACUCCUUUUAUAUGUCAAGAAAAUGACGGUAGCAUAUGAAUAAGCACCGGCUAACUCCGUGCCAGCAGCCGCGGUAAUACGGAGGGUGCAAGCGUUACUCGGAAUCACUGGGCGUAAAGGACGCGUAGGCGGGUUGGAAAGUCAGGUGUGAAAUCCUACAGCUUAACUGUAGAACUGCACUUGAAACUUCUAAUCUAGAGUAUGGGAGGGGGAGAUGGAAUUAGUGGGGUAGGGGUAAACUCCGUAGAUAUCACAAGGAAUACCAAAAGCGAAGGCGAUCCCCUGAAACAUUACUGACGCUAAGGCGUGAAAGCGUGGGGAGCAAACAGGAUUAGAUACCCUCGUAGUC
RNAcentral lists this ribosomal RNA (439 nucleotides) under uncultured bacterium. RNAcentral's name for it is "partial 16S ribosomal RNA". It matches the Rfam family "Bacterial small subunit ribosomal RNA", at positions 339 to 795 of the family's 1533-position model. The record is from RNAcentral.